This is a non-coding RNA of Marmota flaviventris (yellow-bellied marmot), 1832 nucleotides long. NCBI's taxonomy places the organism in Eukaryota, Metazoa, Chordata, Mammalia, Rodentia, Sciuridae. The record is from RefSeq and is a predicted model, not a curated record.
GUCGAACCCGGGCCGCACGCAUGCCAGAAGGAACACCAACCGCCCCAACACCAACCACCAACCACCGAACACCAACCGCCCGAGGCCGCUAACAGUUCUACCUUCUAGGGCUUCGCUCACCUUCCAGAACGGUUCCGUCUUUGUUGGCGAGACAAGGCUUCCUCAUGAGGUUGGUUUGUCUUCAUGGUUGAGGAAAAAAAGCUGAGGAAAGAGGAGGAACUUGAUAUGUCUAGGUAGUAGCUGUUCCCUGGGACUACCUGACACCUUAGAAAGCUUCCUAGGUCAUCAUUUUUUGCACAAGAGUGCUGCAGCAAGACCACAGAGAUGUGAGAUCCCAGGGCCACUGUUGCCAGCAGAGUGCCCUUAUCCCCCAGUGAAUGGGGCACCCUUCUUGUCGGCCUGAAAAAUGCGUCCUCAGUUAGGGAUACCUGGCACAGCUUUGAUUAGGGGGGGAAAUUUUGACUCUGCUUCGGGAUGGAGUGAAAUGAUUCUCUCAACCCAAGGUAGAAGGUUACCUUUUUUGUCACUGUUACCAAAACACCCAACAAGAACGACUUAGAGAAGGAAAAAUUUACUUGGAACUCAAAAUUUCAAAUGUCUAAGUCCACAGAUAGCUGACUCCAUUACUCCUGGUUCCAGGUAUAGAAGUUUAGGAUUGUACAUUUGUACAGAGUGCAUGGAUCAUGGACUAUGUAAUGAGUUCAGGAAGAAAAGCCAGGUGAAGAUUUUGGCAUAGGGGUGAAGACUUCUUCAGCACACAAAGUCACAUCAUCUCCAUUGAUUCAAGAAGACCAAAUUGGCCUGUCAAAUGAGAAAACAGACACUAGCAUCAAGUCCUUCUUAAUUAGCUAGGUGGAGGCUUCAUCUGGGAGAGGCAGGAUUGAGCCAACAGACCAGGCAGCCUGCGGAGUCUAAUGGGUCGCCUCCAUCAGGUCAUCCAUCCUGGGUGACAGGCUCACUGGUCCUUCACAGCCAGGGCCAGCCAUUGGCAAGGAGCUGUGGGGAUCAGCGAGGCUGCAUCCUGUCCCUGGCGUCCCAGCUCACCUGCUGGCCCUGGGGGGCCCCCAGAGGGCUCAGGAGAGCAGGCCGCAUGUACUUUUAUAGUAAAUAGUAAACUGUUCAAUUUACUUGCUUUAAAGACAAGUAAUGGCUCUGGAGGCAGAGACUUAAGGAUCAAGUUCAAAGCCAUCUUCAGCAACAGCCAAACAACUCAGCUAGGAUUUACCUCUAAAUAAAAUACAAAAUGGAGCUGGGGAUGUGUCUCUGUGCCCCUGAGUUCAAUCCCCAGAGAGAAGUAAAAAGCAGGAAAAUCCAAAAUGACAGCCAAAUACUGAAAUUCUGGUAAACAGAAAUACUUAAAACUUGAAGUCAUCAAGCUCUGCCUCCAGCAAAUUGGGAGCUUUUGGAAGCAGGAAUAUCAGAUUCCAGGUCUAGGAAACAACUAAAAGAGAACCUGACUCAAAAUUAAAAUAUUAAGAGGGGGUGGGUGGGGACAGAGCCCAAUAGAGUGCCCCAGUUCAAUCCCCAGUCUACUGCCCUGCCCCUCAAAAAACCUUACAGUAAUGGAGAUACUGUAGCUCUGGAGAAAAGAUUUUGGACUUCAUAAAAAUUUUAAAAAUUUAGUGGGGCACAGUAGCUCACGCAACUGGGGAGACCCUUUCUCAAAAGUAGGCCCAGUGGAGCGCCCCUGAGUUGAAUCCCCAGUACCAAAAAACAAAUAAAAUUUAAAGGAGCAGGGCACACUGUCCCAGGCUUGUAAAUCCCAGUGGCUGGGGAGGCUGAGUCAGUCUCAGCAAUUUAGGGAGACUAUGAGACUCUGUCUCAAAAAUAAA